CCUACGGGUGGCUGCAGUGGGGAAUAUUGGACAAUGGGGGCAACCCUGAUCCAGCCAUGCCGCGUGAGUGAUGAAGGCCUUAGGGUUGUAAAGCUCUUUUAUCCGGGAAGAUAAUGACUGUACCGGAAGAAUAAGCCCCGGCUAACUUCGUGCCAGCAGCCGCGGUAAUACGAAGGGGGCUAGCGUUGUUCGGAAUUACUGGGCGUAAAGCGCAUGUAGGCGGCCAUUCAAGUCGGGGGUGAAAUCCCAGGGCUCAACCCUGGAACUGCCUUCGA
This 275-nucleotide ribosomal RNA is filed under the name uncultured bacterium. RNAcentral's name for it is "partial 16S ribosomal RNA". It matches the Rfam family "Bacterial small subunit ribosomal RNA", at positions 338 to 630 of the family's 1533-position model. The record is from RNAcentral.